Long non-coding RNA from Cornus florida, 442 nucleotides. RefSeq lists it as uncharacterized. The transcript is spliced from 3 exons. The record is from RefSeq and is a predicted model, not a curated record. NCBI's taxonomy places the organism in Eukaryota, Viridiplantae, Streptophyta, Magnoliopsida, Cornales, Cornaceae.
UAUACACAGCUACCCUCAUGUCAAGUGUCAACAAUUCAUAUUUCACUCUUGAACUCAGCUUGUGUUUUGGUUUGUGUUGCAAAGAUGAUUAAUGAACCCCCCAAAUAUGCUUAUCCAUACCCUCCUCAAGGGCAAGGUUAUUAUCAAGGUCCUCCAGUGAUGGCACCUCCUCAGUAUGCUGCUCCACCUCCUAAAAGAGAACCUAGUUUCCUUGAGGGAUGCCUUGCAGCUAUGUGUUGCUGCUGUCUAUUGGAUGAGUGUUGCUGUGAUCCAGACAUAUUCUGUGUGUUCUAGUGGUGGUGUUGUUGAUUGUGAAGAAGCAUAAUUUUGGUGUUCUUUUUGGUUGUGUGUAAAACAAUAAAGAAAGGUGCUUUAGUGGAUUCUAUAUGCUUGUGUUUAAGGCAUUUCCUUUGUCAUUCUAUAUAUAUUAUUAGUUUGUAAA